CUCGUAGUUGGAUUUCUGGCAGGAGCGACCGGUCACACACUCUGUGCGUGAACUUGUGUUGUCUCUGGCCAUCCUUGGGGAGAUCUUGUUUGGCAUUAAGUUGUCGGGCAAGGGAUACCCAUCGUUUACUGUGAAAAAAUUAGAGUGUUUAAAGCAGGCUUAUGCCGUUGAAUAUAUUAGCAUGGAAUAAUAAGAUAGGACUUCGGAACUAUUUUGUUGGUUUGCGUUACGAAGUAAUGAUUAAUAGGGACAGUUGGGGGUAUUCGUAUUUCAUUGUCAGAGGUGAAAUUCUUGGAUUUCUGAAAGACGAACUACUGCGAAAGCAUUUACCAA
Molecule: ribosomal RNA, 333 nt
Filed under: Detonula confervacea
Lineage: Eukaryota; Bacillariophyta; Thalassiosirophyceae; Thalassiosirales; Thalassiosiraceae
Description: SSU rRNA
Rfam family: Eukaryotic small subunit ribosomal RNA
Source: RNAcentral